Molecule: ribosomal RNA, 439 nt
Filed under: uncultured prokaryote
Description: bacterial SSU rRNA
Rfam family: Bacterial small subunit ribosomal RNA
Source: RNAcentral
CCAACGGGCGGCAGCAGUGAGGAAUAUUGGUCAAUGGGCGCAAGCCUGAACCAGCCAUCCCGCGUGAAGGAAGAAGGCGCUAUGCGUCGUAAACUUCUUUUCCAGGGGGAGAAAUUUCCGGUCGUGACCGGAAUUGACGGUACUCUGGGAAUAAGCAUCGGCUAACUCCGUGCCAGCAGCCGCGGUAAUAAGGAGGAUGCGAGCGUUAUCCGGAUUUAUUGGGUGUAAAGGGUGCGUAGGCGGUUCAAUAAGUCAGUGGUUAAAUUCUGCAGCUUAACUGUAGACUUGCCAUUGAUACUGGUGGUCUUGAGUAUGGUCAAGGUAGGCGGAAUGUGUAAUGUAGCGGUGAAAUGCUUAGAUAUUACACAGAACACCGAUUGCGAAGGCAGCUUGCUGGGCCAAUACUGACGCUGAUGCACGAAAGCGUGGGGAUCGAACA